Molecule: ribosomal RNA, 440 nt
Filed under: uncultured bacterium
Lineage: Bacteria
Description: bacterial SSU rRNA
Rfam family: Bacterial small subunit ribosomal RNA
Source: RNAcentral
CCUACGGGGGGCAGCAGUCUAGAAGCAUCGACAAUGGGGGCAACCCUGAUCGUGCGACGCCGCGUGCAGGACGAAGGUCUUCGGAUCGUAAACUGCUUUCGCCAGGGGAGAAGGAUCCAUGGGUUAACAGCCUGAGGAUUUGACGGUACCUGGUAAAGAAGCUCCGGCUAAGUCCGUGCCAGCAGCCGCGGUAAUACGGGCGGAGCAAGCGUUGUUCGGAUUUAUUGGGUGUAAAGGGUGCGCAGGCGGUCGACUAAGUCGAAAGUGAAAUGUCUACGGCUCAACCGAGACACUGCUUCCGAUACUGGUCGACUUGAGUGCGGAAGGGGAGCGUGGAAUUCCUGGUGUAGCGGUGAAAUGCGUAGAUAUCAGGAGGAACACCGGUGGCGAAGGCGACGCUCUGGUCCGUAACUGACGCUCAUGCACGAAAGCCAGGGGAG